Molecule: long non-coding RNA, 225 nt
Filed under: Lathyrus oleraceus (garden pea)
Lineage: Eukaryota; Viridiplantae; Streptophyta; Magnoliopsida; Fabales; Fabaceae
Description: Pisum sativum (pea) long non-coding RNA (PSAT_LNC006800)
Source: RNAcentral
AGCCAUUCACCUGAUCAUUUGAUCAAGAUGAAUUAGAUUUGAAUCAAGGAAGAUUAAACCUCCCUAAUCAAUGCUAUCUUAUCAACCUGUAACUCAUUGAUCAAAAACGAAAAGAAGAAGAUGAAGAUGAAGGAGAUGGAUAAUGAAAAUGAAGAAAAUAAAGUGCAUCCAAUGAAAAGGAAUGUACAAAUCCAUAAAUGUUGACCAAAGAUAGGGAAGAUCAAG